UACACAUGUGUUAAUGGACAGUGUUUACCUUUGUAUUUUUUUUUAUUUAUUGUGUUUUUCUGACAUAACAGUUGUCAGAUUUAGUGCCACAUUAUUGUUUUUAAUUAAAUAUAUGGAUUCUGGUGAUUAUUUCUUUGGCUUGUUUACGGAAAUGAAGGUCAUUCGUUUCUUGUGGAGUUAUUGAAGAAAUUACCGGAUUGGAAAAUUUAAUUAAUAGGAACCCUAUAAAAGAUUUCAAUUUUAAAUUGGUUUCAAGGAUGUAAAAAAAACGAAAAAUCUAAUUAAUCGGAAAAUAGUGAGGCUGAAAAAGGAAUUUUCCGUAUUUCAUCUUUCAAUUCCAAUUCAUCGAAUUUUU
Molecule: long non-coding RNA, 355 nt
Organism: Leptopilina boulardi
Lineage: Eukaryota; Metazoa; Arthropoda; Insecta; Hymenoptera; Figitidae
Exons: 3
Source: RefSeq, a predicted model, not a curated record